RNAcentral lists this long non-coding RNA (1527 nucleotides) under Equus caballus (horse). RNAcentral's name for it is "lncRNA (ENSECAG00000049085.1)". The record is from RNAcentral. Lineage: Eukaryota; Metazoa; Chordata; Mammalia; Perissodactyla; Equidae.
GUUCAAUUCAGAACUGCAGAUAGUACAGCUUUCACAGGAGCAGGGGAUGCCUGAGCACAAGUGGCUGAGUUCCGAGUGACUUUAGGAAGCACUUUCCUCCCUCCCUCCUGCCUGAGAACGGGGAUUCUGCACCUGCAUCAGGGACAGUCUGGCAAAAGCCUCUGCCAUGCCUCGGGGGACAAGGAACUAGCACAAAUAACCGUUUUGAAAUUGGAUCUUGGCAAAAUUAACGACAAAUCCAUAAAGGAAACCGAAGGCAGUUUGAGCUUCAUCUUCGAUGACAAUCCCACCAAAGUUGAAGAAAUAUGUUACGUCUCUAAAGAAGAGCAUGGCUGUGCCCUAAAGUUAGGACGUGAUGGUGAAGCAAAUGUACACACCUCCAUGAAGACCUCUGGUUCAUGACGUGCAUAUCCAAAGCCCCGACAUUAAUGCCGUAUCCAUGGUUUUCAAUGGGGAGGAUAAUCUGUGAUAACAAAAUUGUAUCCCUUCCUUCCUGCAAUUACCUCACUAUCCGCACAGCCUUGACAUCUGGAAACCCACUGCUACAUUAGCAGCUGUGAUUCCUGUCCUACAGCAGGAAGUCAACUACACAUUCCAGAGAGCCCUAAUUGUUUUGAUUUUUUUUCUGGCAGCUCAAGAAGCUUGGAUAUUGGAGAACACACUAUUUUGUACCAACCACAUUUUGGAACCAUACACAAAAGUAUAACUUGUCACAAUCUGAACCACUUGUAGCUAUUGGAUGUUGUCUGUCUCUUAAUGAUACAUAACUAUACAUUUUCCAAAUUUAAUCAUGUUAAAUAUAGAGCACUUUAUUAGAAAAUUAAACCAGAUUCUGUUUGAAUUCACAGUACUAUCCAUGGUUUAUUUGGUGAUCUCACCUCUGCCAUCAUUUUCUUGAGUAAUCAACAUGGAAGAAGACUUAUGCAAAGAUAUGCUCUUGUCUAAAUAUUUGGAAGAGAAUUGGUUAAUUUAAUUAGAAACUGAUUCUUAUAGUAUUGUGAGAAUCCUUAUGCUCUGCAUUUGCUCACAUAGUGCCUCACUUAACACUUUCUGAUGUUUAUCAAUUUGAUAGAAAUCAAGAGAUCUCUAAAAGAAGUGUAAAGUUAUUGUGUUGGGAAACCCAACUGUCACUAAAUGUCUGAAACCAUUUUGUGUUUUUGAGCUGAUAAAAUCUAUAUAUUGUUUAUUCAGAAUGAUUUUAUUCCUUAAAAAGAAUCAAAGGGAAUAACUACUGGCUUGAUUUACUGUUCAUUUUAUCUUUGAAAUGGCUAGAAAUAAUUAUUACCUUCAAUGUAAGAGCAUGAGUCCUUUCUAUUCAUCAAAUUAAGAAUGAAAUGGAUUUUAGUAACACCCUACAAUUACAUUAUUAAUCAAAAUUAUUACCAGCCAUCUUCUAGAAAGUAAACUGGUUUGCUGCAAAACAGGUUGAGGAUUGCUCUGAUUUAGAGCACAACUCUGCAAAAAUACAAAAUAUGAUUUUUAUUUAGUACACAAAUUUUAUAUUUUUCCUCUUUCCUUCAGUUCCUC